This is an RNA transcript of Setaria italica (foxtail millet), 4241 nucleotides long. It is a transcript of the gene named disease resistance protein RPM1, with no coding region annotated. The transcript has 5 exons. The record is from RefSeq and is a predicted model, not a curated record. Lineage: Eukaryota; Viridiplantae; Streptophyta; Magnoliopsida; Poales; Poaceae.
UGCUACUACCACUCACUGACUCACAGUUCCAUUCAAAGAAAGAAACACAAGGCCACGGGUAAGAGAGCCAUGGAGGCGACGGCGCUGAGCGUGGGCAAGUCCGUGCUGGAUGGAGCGCUUGGCUACGCCAAAUCCGCUGUCGCGGAGGAGGUGGCCUUGCAGCUCGGGAUCCAGCGCGAUCAUGCUUUCAUCAGGGACGAGCUCGCGAUGAUGCAAGCCUUUAUGAGGGCUGCGCACGACGAGCGGGACAACCAUGACGUGCUCAUGACCUGGGUGAAGCAAGUCCGAGACGUGGCCUACGAUGCGGAGGACUGCCUCCAGGAUUUCUCUGUUCAUCUCCACAAGCCAUCUUGGUGGCGCCUUCCUCGCACGUUGCAAGAGCGGCGCCGCAUCGCCAAGCAGAUGAAGGAGCUGAGGGCCAGAGUUGAGGACGUGAGCCAGAGGAACCUGCGCUACCAGCUCAUCAAGAGCGCUGGCUCCAAGCCGGUCACUUCUGCUGAGCAGUCAAGCAUUACAGCUGCAGCGAUAUUCGGCAUCGAUGAUGCACGGCGUGCUGCGAAGAAUGACAACUCAAAAGUGGACCUGGUCCACCUGAUCAACACACCGGGCGAGGAUCUUAGAGUGAUCGCAGUGUGGGGAACCAGUGGUGAUCUUGGGCAGACAUCCAUCAUCAACGCGGCCUACGAGAAUCCAGAUAUCAAAAAGAAGUUUUCGUGCCGGGCAUGGGUAAGGAUCUCGCAUCCCUUUAAUCCGAAUGACUUCAUCCAAAGCUUAGUGAGGCAGUUCCGAUCAGCCGUGGGGGUCGAUGUUCUGUUGGAGACCAAGAAGACAGGAAAAGAGUUGGCAGAGGAGUUCUCUGGAUACCUAAGCGAGAAUAGUUUCCUGAUUGUGCUUAAUAACCUGUCCACCUUUGAAGAGUGGAAUGGGGUUAAAGCAUGUCUGCCGCCGAACCACAAGAAAGGGAGUCGAAUCAUAGUUUGCAGCCUACAAGUUGAAGUUGCAAGCUUGUGUGCAGGGCAAGAAUGCCAAGCGUUGGAGCUUAAGCAGUUCUCCGCUCAUCAGACUAUUUAUGCUUUCUACGAGAAGGAUUGUCAAGAUCAAAUAAAAAUACCAGUGGUAGUGUCCAGCUCAGAUGAAUCAAUAAGUACUAAUGUAGCACUGAAACAUCAAUCUAAAGGUGGCAAUGAGAUAAAGGUAUUCACAAAAAGCCUUACUCACAUCAAAACUAUGGCAAGUGCUUUGGAGGAAUCACAACUUAUUGGUCGGCAGAAAGAAAAAACUGAUAUCAUCAACCUCAUUUCAAAUCCAUCUAAUCAAGAGUUUGCGGUGAUCUCAGUAUGGGGAAUGGGUGGUCUUGGGAAAACUACUCUGAUCAAAGAUGUUUAUGAAAGUCAAAAGCUUGUUGGUGUGUUUGAGAAGCAUGCUUGUGUUACAGUGAUGCGCCCUUUCAUUCUUAAGGAGUUCCUGAAGAGCUUAAUUAUGCAACUAAAUGUACAAUCUUCCGAAAAGAAAGGAGCAAUAGAUUUUGCACAUGGUGCAAGAAACACAGCCCCAAUAAUGAUGGGAGUUGAAGCAUUAAUAAAAGAGUUAGCUAGGCUUCUUGAAGGGAAGAAGUGCUUGAUUGUUCUUGAUGAUCUUUCAUCAAUAGAAGAAUGGGAUAAUAUAUUUGGAAGCUUCCCUAAAUUAGAUAGUUCAUGCCGGAUUAUAGUGACCACAAGGGAAGAGAGUAUAGCAAAACAUUGUUCAGAGAAACAAGAAAACAUAUACAAGCUCAAAGUUCUUGACUGCAAGGAUGCACAAGACCUCUUCACAAGAAAGGUAUUUAAGGAGGACAAAGAUUUGGACAAGCAUCCUGAAUUGAUUGAAGAAGCAAAAAUGAUCUUGAAGAAGUGCAAUGGUCUUCCCCUUGCAAUAGUUACCAUCGGUGGCUUCUUGGCGAAGCAACAAAAAGUAGCCGUAGAGUGGAGGAAAUUGAACGAGCAUAUUAGUGCUGAAUUGGAAAUGAACCUGGAGCUUGGGGCCAUAAAAACAAUUCUUGGUAAAAGUUAUGAUGGUCUUCCAUAUCAUCUUAAGUCUUGUUUCCUAUAUACAUCCAUCUUCCCUGAAGAUCACAAGAUUAGACGAAGACGUUUGAUACGACGGUGGAGUGCAGAAGGUUACUCAAGGGAGAUUCGAGAUAAGUCCCCAGAAGAAGUAGUUGACAACUACUUCAUGGAACUAAUAGAGAGGAGCAUGAUCCUACCUUCUCAGCUAUCAGUUAAUAGUAGAAAAGGAAUUGACUCUUGCCAAGUCCAUGAUCUCAUGCGUGAGAUUAGCAUCUCAAAGUCAACAGAAGAAAAUCUCGUUUUUAGAAUGGAGGAAGGUUGCAGCUCAAACGCCCAAGGCACAGUUCGCCACCUUGUCAUAAGCACCAACUGGGAAGCAGAUAAGAGUGAGUUUGAGAACAAAGUGGAUCUGUCCCGCAUACGCUCGUUAACAGUGUUUGGGAAGUGGAGGUCCUUUUUCAUUUCUGAGAAGAUGAGGUUCUUGCGUGUGCUGGACUUGGAAGGCACGUCAGGUCUGGUUAGUCAUCACCUAGAGCAUAUUGGGAAGCUUCUUCACCUCAGAUACCUUUCUCUAAGGGGAUGUGAUAAUAUUUUUCACCUAUCAGAUUCGUUGGGUAAUCUAAAGCAACUAGAAACACUAGAUAUUUCAGAGACAGCGAUUUUAAAGCUGCCCAAGACCAUCACCAAGCUCAAGAAGCUACAAUAUCUUCGUGCUGGGGCUGUUGGAAAGGACGAUGAUUCAUUAAAUGCGUUUGAAGAACUGCCAAAAGUAGUGAAUAACAGGCCAUGCAUUUGUAUGGGUUGGUUGCUAGGAUUUUGCAUGGCAUGUUGCGCACCUCAACUUCUUAAAGAGGUUAUGGAUGUGGAUAGUGACAUGAAUAGGUGUGAUGUAUGCACUCAGUGUUGCUGCUGGUUCUUCCCUAUUCUGAUGGCAAGCGAAGGUCCAACUUGGAUGCCAAGAGGGAUAGGGAAACUAAAAUCCCUGCGCACAUUGGGUCUUGUGAAUCUUGCAUGGGACAAAGCAAUUCUACGGGACAUAAAAGGACUGACCCAGUUGCGCAAGUUAGCUGUGACUGGCAUCAACAAGGAAAACAGCCAGGAGUUCUGUUCAGUCAUUGCCAAUCUCAGCUGCCUGGAAUCUUUGCUAGUGCAGGCAUGGGGGAUGCCAGGUUUGCAUGGCUGUUUGGAGGGCUUGGCCUCCGCUCCAAAAACACUCCAGAGCCUCAAGAUAUACGGUAAUUUGGUCAAAUUGCCAGGGGUCCAGGGGCUCCCGAAUCUUGUGAAGUUGGUUCUAAGGAGCUCUAGAAUACUGGAGCACGAACCUGCACUCCAAGUUCUUGGGAAGCUACCGAACCUGGUCAGCUUACGUCUGUGGGCGAAGUCGUUCCAGGUUGACGACCUCCGUUUCACCUUCCAUCCGGAGGCAUUCCCGAGUCUGAUAGUGCUGGAGCUAAAUGACAUAGAUGGCCUGAAAUCGGUGGAGUUUGAAGAAGGGGCAAUGCUUCAGCUUGAGCGGCUGGAUUUUCGUGGCAAGCUUGAAGAAACCAACACAGGGAUGUUUUCCGGGCUACCAUUGCUCCGGAGCCUCAAGGAAUUUAUGCUGGACAGCAAAACUUAUAAGCACACUUUCAUGGAAGACCUGCAGGGCCAGCUUGGUGCCAAUCCAAAUGGACCCGCUUUGAAGAGGUGGUGAGGUGCUGCAGAGUCAGCGUGGCGAUCGUCGUGCCAGGUUGUUGCUGUUGAAACAGAAGGUGGUGUUUCCUUGACAUGUGAACAGGUUAAUGUAUACAAGAGUUUCCGUCAAACCUUGGUUGGGCAGGUUAUGGUGACUGACACUGUAUCUGAUCUGUUGAUUACUGUGGAGGGGCCCACGUGCGAUGAUUUCCAUACGAUAUUUGAGGAGUUGCGUGGCACUGAGGCUCUAACCAAAAAACGAUUUGCUGAUUAUCUUAUGCCAGAUGUACUUGUUGAAUGGCAUGCUAACAUACUUGUUGAAUGGCAUGCUAACAUCCUGCUCUACACCAGAGGCUUACUUUUGUAUCCACAGGUGUUUGUGUUUUGGCUAUGGCUAGGCGUGUAGAGCAGGCCUGAUAUGGAUGCAUUGUUUUGAAUUUUCAUCCUUUUACUUGGAUUUGAAUUAUUAUGUACAACCAGACAUACCUGAUACCUUAGCAAGCAGGCAAACACAUUCUACCA